GCGGUCUGUCAAGUCGGAUGUGAAAUCCCCGGGCUCAACCUGGGAACUGCAUUCGAAACUGGCAGGCUUGAGUCUUGUAGAGGGGGGUAGAAUUCCAGGUGUAGCGGUGAAAUGCGUAGAGAUCUGGAGGAAUACCGGUGGCGAAGGCGGCCCCCUGGACAAAGACUGACGCUCAGGUGCGAAAGCGUGGGGAGCAAACAGGAUUAGAUACCCUGGUAGUCCACGCCGUAAACGAUGUCUACUUGGAGGUUGUGCCCUUGAGGCGUGGCUUCCGGAGCUAACGCGUUAAGUAGACCGCCUGGGGAGUACGGCCGCAAGGUUAAAACUCAAAUGAAUUGACGGGGGCCCGCACAAGCGGUGGAGCAUGUGGUUUAAUUCGAUGCAACGCGAAGAACCUUAC
RNAcentral lists this ribosomal RNA (400 nucleotides) under Salmonella enterica subsp. enterica serovar Kentucky. RNAcentral describes it as "bacterial SSU rRNA". It matches the Rfam family "Bacterial small subunit ribosomal RNA", at positions 575 to 974 of the family's 1533-position model. Lineage: Bacteria; Pseudomonadati; Pseudomonadota; Gammaproteobacteria; Enterobacterales; Enterobacteriaceae. The record is from RNAcentral.